CAAAUUUUAGUAUUAUUUUUUCUAUUUCUGUGAAAAUUGUCAUUGGAAUAUUGAUAGGGAUUAUGUUGAACCUGUAGAUCACUUUGUAAUAUGGACAUUUAACAACAUUAGUUCUCCUAAUCCAUGAACACAAGAUAUCUUUCUGUGUCUUCGAUUUAUUUCAUAAUGUUUUAUAGCUUUCAGUGUACAGAUCUUUCACCUCUUUGAUUAAAUUUCUUCCUAUGUUUUGGUAGCUACUGUAAAUUGGUUUUCUGGAUUUUCUUCAGAUAGCUCAUUGUUAGUAUACAGAAAUGCUAUAAUUUUUUAUAUGUUGAUUCUGUAUCCUGCAAAAUAACUUAAUUUAUUUUUUAGUGCAAAUUUUGUUUUGGUGGAGUCUUUAAGGUUUUCUAUAUGUGAGACUGUUGUGAUAUAGAAAAACCCGAGUGUUUUUCCUACUCUCUACUUUCACACAGUCACUCAACACCUCUGACGUCAGAUGUGUGGAUAUUUGUUUUCCUCUACAUACCAAGCAAUUUUCUGGCAGAUUCUGUGGCAGACACCAGCUCUAAUUCAGUUUAAUUCUGAUACUGUCCCACAGGAGAUAGUAUCAGAUCCCACACGUUAAGGGUUUGAUCCUACAAGACUGCUCCAACUUCAGAUGCCGACUGCAGACCCCAGGCUGUGGCCUGAUCAGCUGACUAUAAAUUGGAGUUCCAAUGACUCCCACCUUGAAUUCUAUUAAUUUGCUGGAGCAGCUCACAGAACUUGGGGAAACACUAUAUUUACCUCCACUCAUUUACUAUACAGAAAGGAUACAAAGAGCCAGAUGGAAGAGAUGCAUAAGACGCUGAACCCCACCAAGAAGAACAUUAGACUAUACUAUGCCCACAUUAAUUACUUUCCCCCUCAUCACCUUAGAAAAUCCUUUCAUUUUUCAGUAUUGUGUGGACACCUGUGAGCUGGUUGUUUUGAAAAAGGAAAAAUCCAACCAAUUAAAAUGGACUGCUCUAUUAAAGAACAUAACAUGAUCAUGGCA
Molecule: long non-coding RNA, 1015 nt
Organism: Macaca mulatta (Rhesus monkey)
Lineage: Eukaryota; Metazoa; Chordata; Mammalia; Primates; Cercopithecidae
Source: RefSeq, a predicted model, not a curated record